Molecule: long non-coding RNA, 440 nt
Filed under: Arabidopsis lyrata
Lineage: Eukaryota; Viridiplantae; Streptophyta; Magnoliopsida; Brassicales; Brassicaceae
Description: long non-coding RNA (ALYR_LNC000410)
Source: RNAcentral
AUGGAAUCUUAUCACAAAUCAGGCCAGUGGUGAUUUGGAAUUCCCGGAGAGAGAAGCGGAGUGGAAACCCACCAUAUACAGUCCACAACUCAUGCUUUGAUUGAGUCAAAAGUUGUCUAGAAAGCAUACCAUGAAUCAACUUGGCAGAAUGAGAACACCUUGCAACAGGAAGUUCAAACAAUCGUUUGAACUGGGAAGCAAGUAGCAAGUCCCAACUCUCUGAACCCUCCAGUAGUUCCACCAGAAUCCCCAGAUAUUCCGGCUUUGAGUAUAUGUUAAGGCGAGUCCGAUCUGGUAAGUCGUCAGGAUGCAACAGACGGCAAGGUAGGCUAGGGUUUGGAACCUCAUCCUCUCCGGCUGUUGUUUUUGCCGGAGAAUGUGCAAAUCCUCUUGCAUCUCCUAUUAUUCAUUUCAGAAACCCUCAAAUUUCAAACAAUUUG